GAGCGUGCGUCCUAUUAGCUAGUUGGUGAGGCAAUGGCUCACCAAGGCUACGAUGGGUAGGGGUUCUUAGUGGAAGAUCCCCCACACUGGCACUGAGAUACGGGCCAGACUCCUACGGGAGGCAGCAGUAGGGAAUAUUGGUCAAUGGGCGAAAGCCUGAACCAGCCAUGCCGCGUGCAGGAUGACAGCUCUCUGAGUUGUAAACUGCUUUUGUACAGGAGCAAAACAAUCCCUGCGGGGGUUCUUGAGAGUACUGUAAGAAUAAGCACCGGCUAAUUCCGUGCCAGCAGCCGCGGUAAUACGGAAGGUGCAAGCGUUAUCCGGUUUUAUUGGGUUUAAAGGGUGCGUAGGCGGCUUAUUAAGUCAGUUGUGAAAUCCUAGUGCUUAACGCUAGAACUGCAAUUGAUACUAUUAGGCUUG
Molecule: ribosomal RNA, 420 nt
Filed under: Cardinium endosymbiont of Bemisia tabaci
Lineage: Bacteria; Pseudomonadati; Bacteroidota; Cytophagia; Cytophagales; Amoebophilaceae
Description: bacterial SSU rRNA
Rfam family: Bacterial small subunit ribosomal RNA
Source: RNAcentral